Molecule: ribosomal RNA, 255 nt
Filed under: uncultured bacterium
Lineage: Bacteria
Description: partial 16S ribosomal RNA
Rfam family: Bacterial small subunit ribosomal RNA
Source: RNAcentral
UACAGAGGGUGCAAGCGUUGCUCGGAAUCAUUGGGCGUAAAGGGCAGGUAGGUGGUCUGAUUUGUCUGGAGGUGAAAGCCUUGGGCUUAACCCAAGAAGUGCCCCGGAAACGGUCAGACUUUGAGUCUUGGAGAGGGUUGCGGAAUUCCCGGUGUAGCGGUGAAAUGCGCAGAGAUCGGGAGGAACACCAACGGCGAAAGCAGGUACCUGGACUAUUACUGACACUCAGCUGCGAAAGCUAGGGGAGCAAACAGG